Molecule: ribosomal RNA, 253 nt
Filed under: uncultured bacterium
Lineage: Bacteria
Description: partial 16S ribosomal RNA
Rfam family: Bacterial small subunit ribosomal RNA
Source: RNAcentral
UACGUAGGGUGCAGGCGUUAAUCGGAAUUACUGGGCGUAAAGCGUGCGCAGGCGGUUCGCUAAGACAGAUGUGAAAUCCCCGGGCUUAACCUGGGAACUGCAUCUGUGACUGGCGGGCUAGAGUAUGGCAGAGGGGGGUAGAAUUCCACGUGUAGCAGUGAAAUGCGUAGAGAUGUGGAGGAAUACCGAUGGCGAAGGCAGCCCCCUGGGCCAAUACUGACGCUCAUGCACGAAAGCGUGGGGAGCAAACAGG